This 883-nucleotide long non-coding RNA is filed under the name Homo sapiens (human). Its description in RNAcentral is "non-protein coding lnc-ZNF641-4:1". Lineage: Eukaryota; Metazoa; Chordata; Mammalia; Primates; Hominidae. The record is from RNAcentral.
CUAAUUAUGAAAAAUCUCAUCAUCAUUACUGAGUUCGUCCUUAUGGAAUCAUCUAGAAAUCCUCAGAUCCAGACCAUGACCUGUAUGCUCCUGGUGAUUUAUCUGUUGUCACUGAUGGAGAACCUGAUGAUGAUCCUGGUGAUCAGGACCAAUUCCCACCUUAAAACAACCAUGUACUUCUUUCUGGGUCACCUGUCACUGUUAGAUCUCUGCCUUCCUUCAAUCCCUGUGCCCAAGAUGCUGCAGAAUUUAUUAACUCAAAGGUAAACCAUCUCUAUGUGGUACUGCAUUGUCCAGAGUUUCUUUCUCAUAUUCUCUGGGAGCACAGAAGCCUGCCUACUCCUUGCCAUGGCCUGUGAUCACUCUACUUCCAACUGCCACCCUCGGCUCAACGAUGUGGUUAUGAAUCAGCCUGUCUGUGUCAGGAUGGUGAUUGCAGCAUGGGCAGUGGGAUUCCUAAACUCCUUGACAAAGAAUCUUUUCAUUUACAACUUACACUUCUGUGGCCCCAGUGUCAUCCCUCACUUCUGCUGUGAGCUGCCUUCACUCUUCCCUCUCUCUUGUAUUGAUCCAGCUGCCAGUGAGGUCCUUCCUGCUGGGUCAUGUACAUUGCUAGGAUUUGUGACUUGCCGCUGGUCCUCUUUUCUUACUCUAACACCAUCUCUGCCUCCUAGCCAUUUGUUUUUCUGAGGGUCAAGGCAAAGCCUUCUCCACCUGCUCCUCCCACCUCACCGUGGUGCUUUUGUACUAUGGUAAGGUUUUAUUAAGGUACACGACCCCUCUCUUAGGUUCCAUCUUGGAGCAAGUGGUCUGCAUUCAGUACAGUGUGAUCACAUCUUCACUGAAGCCACUCAUCUGCAGCCUCAAGAACCAGGAGGUGAAG